This 72-nucleotide transfer RNA is filed under the name Bos taurus (domestic cattle). It matches the Rfam family "tRNA". From Rfam's summary of the family: Transfer RNA (tRNA) molecules are approximately 80 nucleotides in length. Their secondary structure includes four short double-helical elements and three loops (D, anti-codon, and T loops). Lineage: Eukaryota; Metazoa; Chordata; Mammalia; Artiodactyla; Bovidae. RNAcentral also lists the same sequence under 1 other name. The record is from Rfam by way of RNAcentral.
UCCUUAGUGGCUCAGACAGUAAAGCGUCUGUCUACAAUGCGGGAGACCUGGGUUCAAACCCUGGAUAAGGAA